This 335-nucleotide unclassified non-coding RNA is filed under the name soil metagenome. Its description in RNAcentral is "partial contains 5.8S ribosomal RNA, internal transcribed spacer 2, and large subunit ribosomal RNA". The stretch from base 1 to 120 matches the Rfam family "5.8S ribosomal RNA", at positions 35 to 154 of the family's 154-position model. The record is from RNAcentral.
GAUGAAGAACGUAGCGAAAUGCGAUAAGUAGUGUGAAUUGCAGAAUUCAGUGAAUCAUCGAAUCUUUGAACGCACAUUGCGCCCCUUGGUACUCCAUGGGACAUGCCUGUUCGAGCGUCAUUUACACCCUCAAGCUCAGCUUGGUGUUGGGCGUCUGUCCCGCUUCGUGCGCGGACUCGCCUCAAAUGCAUUGGCAGCGGUCUUGCCAGCUUCUCGCGCAGCACAUUGCGCUUCUAGAGGCUUUGGCGGAUCGGCGUCCAUCAAGUACACCCACAGUUUGACCUCGGAUCAGGUAGGGAUACCCGCUGAACUUAAGCAUAUCAAUAAGCGGAGGA